Molecule: non-coding RNA, 1441 nt
Organism: Odocoileus virginianus texanus
Lineage: Eukaryota; Metazoa; Chordata; Mammalia; Artiodactyla; Cervidae
Source: RefSeq, a predicted model, not a curated record
AAGAUCAGUGGCAGAGAUUUGACUUUCUGGCAAGAGCUUGUAUCCAAGUGUUUAGCUGAAUAUUCAUCGAACAAGUGUUCCAAACCAAAUGUUCAGAAGUUGAAAUGGAUUGUUUCUGGGCGUACUGCACGGCAACUGAGGCAUAGUUACUACAGAAUAACCCACCUUCCAACAAUUCCGGAAAUGGUCCCUUAAUUGGAUGAUUACAGCAACAAAAAACUUCUGAAGCCUUUCUCCACAAUCCUGAGCUGUGGAUUCCAUAAUAUUAUAACGGAUUUAAGCUGUGAAGCCUCAAAACAUCACAACUAGAUUAGCAUUGGUGUUCUCAGAUUUGGGAAAACUGCCUAAUUAACAUUACCCUAUAGUGGAAUUACUCAAAUUUGAAUUCACCUGUGAAACAUACAAAUCAAAGUAACAGUAUAAAUGUGAAAUGCAAAUGACAAGCCUGGAAAGGUAAACUGUGAAUCUUCAUUUCUAACAUUGAUCCAAGUUUCUGUAUUGGGUCAAUAUAUUGUACUUAGGUGGUGUUUAAAAAAGGUAACCUACUUAAAUUUAAACUUUAAAUUAGGAGGUUUACAUCAAAAACACCAUUUCACAAAUGCACUUUUUAAGGCACAAUAAGGGUCACUAUUCUAGGCAGUGAGAAUAGUUAGUUUCUUGGCACCUAUGAUGCAAGUAAUUAUUAACCCAGAGAUGUGGCCCUUACUGCUACAUAGAAAUCACAUUUAAAUUUGAGGGCAUUUAUGUAAAGCAAAACUACCAACCUGUUAAUUUUGGCAUGUUAUCUUUAAUAUUUUUCUAGAAAACUGGUGAUGUUUGUAUCCAUGAUUUUAAAAGUUUUAUACAAAAUUUACUGCCUCAGUCUAGUCCCAUCAAGAAAGUUAGUUUUUACUGUACUAGUAACUCAAAACAAAUUAGUGUCACUCAGAAAACUUUUUGAUUUAACACUCCAUCAGUUUUUACUGAGGACUGUUUUUAUAAAACUUGGUUCUAACUUAGAAUUUUGCUUAAAAGAAAGAGAAUAUGCUUACAUUAAUUGCCCCUACUGUGUGCCAAAAGGAAGUAUUAAGAAAGGCAAGUAGGCAUCUUCAUAAUUAUAAGGUUGCCGAGGUGUAGUGUUCAGAGAUCUACAGGGUUAAAGUGUUGCAGAGAGUUACUCAAUGCAGUGUGUAACCUGAAUCCAUCCAAGAUGGCUGUACCCAAUUUUGACAUCAUUUUAUGGUUAUAGAGGCAUUAGAAAAUGAACCAAAGAACCACAGUGUAUCUUAUACUUUGGUAAACCAUGUUUUAUGAAUAACUUUACAGUUUUCCCAAAAUACUGAUAAAUUUCAAUAUUUUGAAUACAUCAGUGUUAAUUUUGAGUUGCCAGAGGUAACCUAACCAACUCCCAUUAUGUUUUGGUACUAAGGGAUAUACCUUUCAAUAAAGUUACUGAAAUGCA